UACGUAGGGUGCAAGCGUUAAUCGGAAUUACUGGGCGUAAAGGGUUCGUAGGUGGCUUGCUAAGUCAGACGUGAAAUCCCUCAGCUUAACUGGGGAACUGCGUCUGAGACUGGUGAGCUUGAGUGCAGGAGAGGAACGCGGAAUUCCAGGUGUAGCGGUGAAAUGCGUAGAUAUCUGGAGGAAGACCAGUGGCGAAGGCGGGUCUCUGGACAGUUCCUGACACUGAGGCACGAAGGCCAGGGGAGCAAACGGG
This 253-nucleotide ribosomal RNA is filed under the name uncultured bacterium. RNAcentral describes it as "partial 16S ribosomal RNA". It matches the Rfam family "Bacterial small subunit ribosomal RNA", at positions 524 to 776 of the family's 1533-position model. The record is from RNAcentral.